GAGGGCGAUCGCGGAGUCACUGAAUGAAGUCCUCCGUUUAUUUCGGAGGUGCUGACCCGCAGCGAGGCAGAUAUUACUAAGUGACAUAUUUGAUAUGGCGACGACAACAGCAUGUCGUAGAAGGAGAUAACAGGUGGAGCCAACGACCCACUAAGACUCACGUAUCUACAACUACAUCCCCGAGCGGCAGUCAAACGGAGGCGUGAAUGCAAGAUGCCAGCGGAAUGAUCGGCCGGACAGAGGCUAGGGCUGCUUCCUUCCCACCGCGUCCNN
Molecule: long non-coding RNA, 273 nt
Filed under: Phoenix dactylifera (date palm)
Lineage: Eukaryota; Viridiplantae; Streptophyta; Magnoliopsida; Arecales; Arecaceae
Description: long non-coding RNA (PDAC_LNC004105)
Source: RNAcentral